CCUACGGGUGGCAGCAGUGGGGGAUAUUGCACAAUGGGGGGAACCCUGAUGCAGCGACGCCGCGUGGGUGAAGGAGUGUUUCGGUGUGUAAAGCUCUAUCGGCAGGGAAGAAGAUGACGGUACCUGACUAAGAAGCCCCGGCUAACUACGUGCCAGCAGCCGCGGUAAUACGUAGGGGGCAAGCGUUAUCCGGAUUUACUGGGUGUAAAGGGAGCGCAGACGGCUGUGCAAGUCUGGAGUGAAAGGCGGGGGCCCAACCCCGGGACUGCUCUGGAAACUGUAAGGCUGGAGUGCAGGAGGGGUAAGCGGAAUUCCUAGUGUAGCGGUGAAAUGCGUAGAUAUUAGGAGGAACACCAGUGGCGAAGGCGGCCUACUGGACUGCGACUGACGUUGAGGCUCGAAGGCGUGGGGAGCAAACAGGAUUAGAUACCCGAGUAGUC
Molecule: ribosomal RNA, 440 nt
Filed under: uncultured bacterium
Lineage: Bacteria
Description: partial 16S ribosomal RNA
Rfam family: Bacterial small subunit ribosomal RNA
Source: RNAcentral